GGAUGCGAUGAUACCAGCACUAAAGCACCGGAUCCCAUCAGAACUCCGAAGUUAAGCGUGCUUGGGCGAGAGUAGUACUAGGAUGGGUGACCUCCUGGGAAGUCCUCGUGUUGCAUUCC
This 119-nucleotide ribosomal RNA is filed under the name Triticum aestivum (bread wheat). The record is from RNAcentral. Lineage: Eukaryota; Viridiplantae; Streptophyta; Magnoliopsida; Poales; Poaceae. RNAcentral also lists the same sequence under 1 other name.